RNAcentral lists this ribosomal RNA (4389 nucleotides) under Triticum aestivum (bread wheat). RNAcentral describes it as "partial small subunit ribosomal RNA". The record is from RNAcentral. Lineage: Eukaryota; Viridiplantae; Streptophyta; Magnoliopsida; Poales; Poaceae.
AUGGACCGCCAAGCUAUUGCCUCAAAAAGUGAACUGGAGCAUAUUCUACUUGAUGAAGGCGCGGAACCAAAGGCCCUGCCAUUAUCACUUCUGGAGCACAUCACAAGCAGUUUCUCUGCUGACAAAGAAAUUGGAGAUGGUGGCUUUGCAAGGGUUUAUAAGGGAGUGCUAGACAAUGGCACGGUUGCUGUGAAGAAGCUUUUUGGAACGGUUGAUCUUGAUGAGAAGAAAUUCAGUGAAGAGGUUCGUUGUCUAAUGAAGGCAAAGCACAAAAAUAUAGUGCGGUUCCUAGGAUAUUGCUCUGAUACACAAGGGGAAAUGGUAGACUGUGAGGGAAAGCUUGUCUUAGCAGAUGUGCGAAAAAGGUUACUCUGCUUUGAAUAUCUACCUAAAGGGAGUCUGGAUAAGCAAAUCACUGAUGCAUCAUGUGGACUUGAGUGGAGUAAACGCUAUCAAAUUAUCAGUGGAAUUUGCGACGGUUUAUAUUAUCUUCACCAAAAUCACAUCGUUCACUUGGAUCUUAAACCUGCAAAUAUACUGCUACAUGAUAAUAUGAUGCCGAAAAUAGCUGAUUUCGGCCUCUCGAGGUGCUUCGAUGAGAAGCAAAGCCAAACUAUUACUUCUAAUAUGCUUGGAACUAUAGGAUAUUUGGCGCCAGAAUUCUAUGCACGCAGACAGAUCACGUUCAAGCUAGACAUAUAUAGUCUUGGUAUGGUAAUCAUAGAGAUACUAACAGGAGAGAAGGGAUAUGCUAAUAUUGAUAAUGUACUUGAGAGGUGGAGAAGUAGGUUGGAUAAAUCUCAGGAAGACAAACAACUGGUACAAGUACGAGUAUGCACAGAGAUAGCUAUUGAGUGCACUGACUUUAACCCGGCGAAAAGACCUGAUGCUCAUCAUAUAAUUGAUAGGCUUGGUGCAACAAGAAAUGCAGAUGAGUUUGCUACUGAAACAGAGGCAAAUAGUAGUUCAUCAGUACCAAAGUUGGCAGCUGUCUCCCCUGGUCCCACAAUUUGUCCUGAGAAUGCAAUGGAUAAUGAGUUGAAGAAGUCAACAGAAGAAUUGUUUAGUAUGACAGAUCAAAUCCAGUGUUUCAGUUCGAUGCCAGAUGACAGUUCUAAUGUGCAGCUAGAUACGGGCAUACGGGAAACAACAUCGGAUGUGGAAGAAGCACUGAUCAUCGGGAGGACUGAAGAGAAGCAGAAAAUAGUGGCUACUUUAUCUGAGAGCAUCACACCAGAGGUCACCAUUCUUCCAAUAUAUGGCUUUGGAGGUAUUGGCAAGACAACCUUGGCUCAACUAGUUUUUAAUGAUUCUCAGUUUGCUGGCUACUCCAGGGUGUGGGUCUAUGUGUCCCAAAAUUUUGACUUGAAUAAAAUUGGCAACUCUAUAAUAUCACAGUUAUCAGAGGAGAGUCAUGUAACUGAAAAACAGAUGAUACAUAAUCACCUCAGAAAGCUACUUGCUGGUAAGAAGAUUCUUAUUGUCUUAGAUGACGUGUGGGAGAAGAAUCCAGAUACACUAAAAUCUUUGAAGGCUAUGUUAAGGCUUGGUGCAGAUAGCAUGGUGAAAAUUAUCGUAACCACAAGAGAUGAAGCCAUUGCAAGGGAAAUUUGUCAUACAGUUGAGCCAUACAAGCUAGAGACUUUGACAGAUAAAUUUUGUUGGAAAAUAUUAAAACAGAAAACUGCCUUCAAAAAUCGAGUCGACAAGAAACAGUUGAAGCAUAUAGGAAGGGAGAUUGCCACCAAAUGUGGAGGUGUCGCCUUAGCGGCUCAAUCACUUGGAUACACGUUGAACGGCAAGACGUCUGACGAAUGGGAGUCAGUGAGGGACAACUAUAUCUGGACUGUACCUACUCCGGAGGAUCCAUCAUCAAAAAAUCAUGAAGUGCAAGCGUCCUUGUUAUUAAGCUAUCACCACAUGCCUGAAUGCUUGAAGAUGUGCUUUUCCUAUUGUGCAAUCUUUCCAAAAGGUCACAAUAUAGUGAAGUGUGAUCUAAUUCACCAAUGGAUAGCUCUUGGAUUCAUUGAGCCAUCUACGAUAUUUGAUACUAUGCAGCUUGGCGAAAAAUAUGUUACACAGCUUUUGGGGAUGUCGUUCCUUCAAUAUUCAAAGACACCUUCGAGUGAUGGACGGCGGGACAAAGGUGUUACCUUGUUCACGUUGCAUGACCUAGUGCAUGAUCUUGCAGCAGCGAUGUUGGCCGACAAAGUUAAUAAAAAGGGCAAUGCUGUAGAAAGCAGUUGCCACUAUGCAUUGGUCACAGAUUGUAGCAAGCCAUUGCAGUUGUCAACAAGUUCUCCUGAAAAUACCUAUUUCAAAAAAACCUUUUACCCGUUUCAAAAAAGGAGUUCUACUGAAAAAAUAAAGGCAUUGUUUUUUCUGAACUGUGGCAAAAUAGAGCUCCGUGGUGGUGCAUUUUCACCUGCUAAGUGUCUCCUUGUCUUAGAUUUAAGUGAAUGCUUUAUUCGGAAGUUACCUAGUUCUAUUGGACAAUUGAAGCAGUUAAGAUAUCUUCAUGCUCCACGGAUCCAAGAUCAGGAGAAUCCCAAUUGUAUCUCCGAGCUCUCACAAUUAAGUUACCUCAACCUUGGAGACUCUCAUUGUAUCUCAGCAUUGCCGGAGUCAAUUGGAGAUAUGAAAGGUCUGAUGCAUCUUGAUUUAUCAGGUUGUGUUGGAAUAAGUGACCUCCCAAAAUCAUUUGCGAAGCUGAAGCAGUUGGUGUAUCUUGAUUUAUCAUAUUGCAAAAUGUCUAUAUCAGAAGCUUUGGGUGGUUUUACCAAACUUCAGCAUCUGAAUUUAUCAGAUAAAUUUACUAUGCACACAAAGCACAUCAUAGGGCAUCCAGAGGUCAUCGGCAACCUAAUCAAACUCAGGUACUUGAAUCUAUCGUGGUGCAUGGACGUCGUGGCCCCGGACCAAAUUAACAGUUUGGUUUGCUGUAUCAGUACCCUUUCUAAUCUAGAGCAUCUGGACUUGUCAUGUAAUACCGGGAUUUGUAGUAUACCAGAAAGUAUUGGCAACCUCAGGAAGCUUCAUACAUUGGACCUCUCAGGCUGCUACAACCUAAAGAAGCUUCCCGAUAGUAUGGUUAAUAUGGUUAGUUUGAAGGAUCUAUUUGUGGAAGAAGAACUUACAUUGGAUGAACCAUUGCUCCCUCGGUUAAAUUGUGCCUCAUUGCCACACUUUGUGGUGCAUGCUUCAAGUGACAAAUGUUGUAGCAAUAUCAUUCUGCUUCAGCCUACAAAUCCUGAUAAACUGACGAUAGAUGCACUUGAAAAUGUGAAGUCUGCAGAAGAGGCACACAGUAUAAAACUGAUAGAGAAACAAAAAAUGAAAAGGCUAACAUUUCAAUGGACUGUAGCUGCUGGGAGGUUUGUGGAUGACGAGGAGGUGUUGGAAAAACUAGUGCCACCAAGCAGUGUACAGAAAUUGUCUAUAACUGGUUACAACAGUCUCAGCCUUCCUGAUUGGUUCGUGGGUAUUAGGCAAUAUCUCCCUAAUCUUUGUGUGAUAAAGUUGAGGAAUUUUCCGAAGUGCAAGAACCUACCACCACUUGGUCAACUACCAAACCUACAAGAGCUGUGUCUCCGCGGUAUGCCUUGCUUGGAAGAGUGGAACAUGGCAUAUACCAGUGGCGAGAAAUUUGCAAAUGAGCUCAUGUUCCCUAAGCUUCAGAGGUUGGACAUAAGGAAAUGUGCCAAGUUGAGGAUAAAACUAUGUCUUUGUAGAGCUAUGAUUUUGUUCAUAGUAGAUUGCGAUAAUGUGCUAUCAUCAUGGGGAGAGAUCUUGUCACACAACAGUGCUUCCUCCUCUUCCCCAAUUACAAAUCUUAAUGUUUCUGACAGCAAGUUGUUUCACCACCUCCCCGCCCCGCAUAGUUUAGCUAUCAGGUUUCGCAAUGAUCUAACCACCUUACCUGAGAAUCGCCAACAGUUCUCCUCCCUCCAAUCAUUGUCCCUGCGGCUAGGACGCAGCAACGAAGCAGAACUGCCAAGAUGGCUGUUUGAGCUUACAUCUCUUCAGGAGCUGGAGAUAAGCCACCCAAAGCUAGAGAAACUGAAUGAAGACACUAGGCAACUCACAGGACUACAGUCACUAAGUCUGUCUCAUUGUGAAAGCAUGGCAUCACUACCGGAAUGGUUAGGAGAACUUACCUCUCUCAAGAGAUUUCAGAUCAAGUACUGCAAAGGGAUCAGAUCAUUGCCAGAUAGCAUACGAAAACUGACCAACCUUGAAUAUCUGGCCAUUGAUGGCUGCUCUACAUUAAGGAAGUGGUGUGAAUCACAGGAGAACAAGAUGAAGCUUGCUCACAUUAGAUGGAAGCACUUGGUAUUAGACAAUGCACAUGAAGAACACAUACCAGAGUAUGGGACAGCAGGCUUGUGA